Molecule: non-coding RNA, 72 nt
Organism: Capsicum annuum
Lineage: Eukaryota; Viridiplantae; Streptophyta; Magnoliopsida; Solanales; Solanaceae
Source: Rfam
GGAUUCAUGGCACAAUGGUAGCGCGUCUGAUUCCAGAUCAUAUGGUUGCUUGUCUGAUUCACGUUGGGUUCA